GACGAACGCUGGCGGCGUGCUUAACACAUGCAAGUUGAACGAUGAAACCUAGCUUGCUAGGUCGAUUAGUGGCGAACGGGUGAGUAACACGUGACUAACCUGCCCCUUUCUCUGGGAUAACGCUCCGAAAGGAGUGCUAAUACCGGAUACUCACACCGAGGCACAUGCCUUGGUGUGGAAAGUUUUUCGGAAAGGGAUGGAGUCGCGGCCUAGGAGCUUGUUGGUGAGGUAACGGAUCACCAAGGCGACGACGGGUAGCCGGCCUGAGAGGGGGACCGGCCACACGGGGACUGAGACACGGCCCAGACUCCUACGGGAGGCAGCAGUGGGGAAUAUUGCACAAUGGGCGCAAGCCUGAUGCAGCGACGCCGCGUGAGGGAUGAAGGUCUUCGGAUUGUAAACCUCUUUCAGUAGGGACGAAGCGAAAGUGACGGUACCUAAAGAAGAAGCACCGGCUAACUACGUGCCAGCCGCCGCGGUAA
RNAcentral lists this ribosomal RNA (482 nucleotides) under uncultured bacterium. Its description in RNAcentral is "partial 16S ribosomal RNA". It matches the Rfam family "Bacterial small subunit ribosomal RNA", at positions 28 to 523 of the family's 1533-position model. The record is from RNAcentral.